CAAGCCCCACCCCGCUCGGCGUGUACGACAACGUUUUGAGCCAACGUGAAGUAACCGACGGGAGCUGCUAAGCGGGCCUCGUGGGGCUCGGGGUUGCGGCACCCACCUGCCUUUGCAGGUUCAAAACCGAGUUACACCCGGCGGAGGUGGGGUUUUG
Sphaerobacter thermophilus DSM 20745 is the source of this 157-nucleotide non-coding RNA. It matches the Rfam family "6S / SsrS RNA". From Rfam's summary of the family: E. coli 6S RNA was the first non coding RNA to be sequenced, but its function was unknown until recently. It consists of 184 nucleotides that fold into an extended hairpin structure with a large single-stranded internal bulge. The record is from Rfam. Lineage: Bacteria; Pseudomonadati; Thermomicrobiota; Thermomicrobia; Sphaerobacterales; Sphaerobacteraceae.